CUGAUUUUAAAUUAACAUAUCCUUCCAUAUAUAAGGAAAAUGUUAAACUGAAAAUAUAUCUGAUAGCUAUUAUUAUCUAAUUCAUAUUGAGUGAUUUAAUCUAAUUUAACAUAGCAACUUCUAAAGGUAAGUAAGAAUUUUUUAAAUUUUUACCAACUAUCAUAGUCUUACAGCCUCUGUUUUAAAGGUGUUUAAAUAUACAGUAUUUUUGUAUUCAACUUCUCAUAGUUGAAGAGAUUUCUCAUAGAAAUAGUGAAAUGAAGCCAGAUGAUGUUGUGUACACCUGUAAUCCAAGCUUCCUGGGAGGCUGAGGCAGGAGGACCACAAAUUUGAGGGCAUCCUAGGCAAUUCAGCAAAACCAUAUUUCAAAAAAGGAUGUAAAAUGGUUAAGUGCCCUGGAUUCAAUCCCUUUAAACCCUUCCCCACACAUACACAUACACACGAAGAUGAUUAUAAGAAUAAUUAUUUUUUCCAGCAACUCAGGAGGCUGAGACAGGAGGAUCACCUCAGCAAUAGCGAGGUGCUAAGAAACAAACUGAGACCCAGUCCUAUUUAGAGACCCUGUCUCUAAAUAACAUACAAAAUAGGGCUGCGGGUGCAGCUCACUGGUCUAAUGCUCCUGAGUUCAAUCCCCAGUACAAAAAAAAAAAAAGAAGAAGAAGAAGAAGAAUCGGGCUGGGGAUGUAGCUCAAGCAGUAGUGCGCUUGCCUGGCAUGCGUGCAGCCCGGGUUCGAUCCUCAGCACCACAUACAAACAAAGAUGUUGUGUCCGCCGAAAACUAAAAAAUAAAUAUUAAAAUUCUCUCUCUAAAAAAAAAAAAAAAAGAAGAAGAAUUUUGAAAAUUCAAGCUGGGCAAGGUGGCACACAUCUGUAAUCCCAGCAGCUAGAGAGGCUGAGGCAGGAGGAACACAAGUUGGAGGCCAGCCUGGGCAUUUUAGCAAAACCCUGUUUCAAAAAAGGCUGUAACCCAGUGGUAAAGUGCCCCUGGAUUCAAUCCCUGUAACCCUCCCAACACACACACACACAAGAAGAUGAUAAGAAUAAUUUUGAAAAUUCAAGAUGGGAAUGCUGGCACAUACCUGUUAAUCCCAGCAGCUAGGGAGACUGAGGCAGGAGGAUCAUGAGUUCAAAGCCAGUCUCAGCAACUUAGCAAGACCCUGUCUCUAAAUAAAAUAUGAAAUAGGGUUGGGAAUGUAGUUAAGUGCCUGGGUUCAAUUUCUGGUACAAAAAAAAAAAAAAAAAGUUCACUGUUUUGUUUUUUGCAGUACUGGGAUUGAAUCCAGGGGCAUGUUACUACUGAGCCAUAUCCCCACAGCCCUUUUUAUUUUUAAAUUUGAUACAAUGUCACUAAAUUGCCGAGGCUGACCUCAAACUUGGAAUCCUCCUGCCUCACCUUCCUGAGUGACUGGGAUUACAGGAAUGUGCCAGUACCAGCAAUAAUCUGAUUCUGUUACUUAUUUCUAUUAGGGGGAAAAUGCUUUAAUAUAGAAAAGUUUUAAAGAAAUAACUUGGAAUUAGGAUUCAUUAAAGAAUUGAGAAUAAUAUGCAAAAGAAGUGAAAAAAGUUCCAUUAGAUUGAUUCUAGACAUAAGUUAUUUUCUGUUAGUUGUCCUCUUUUAAAGUCUUAGUUACUUUCAUUGCUUCUCAUUCAGUAAUGUGUGUACAGCUGUUCAACUCAUCUAACAAGUCACUUCGUUCAGAGGCACUUUUCUUGUCUCUUCAAUGUCAUUUUAUUAAGAUAGCGUGUAUGAAAAGUCAGUGGCUUAGAAGCUAUGAAAAUAAAGAGUAUAAACAGUUCUAAUGCAGUACAAUAAAAGUCAUUUAUGAGUAUUAUGCUAAAGAAAUAUUUAGAUAGCUUGAUAACUCUUCCAAGGGAAUGAGAAUGUAAAUAGAAGGUAACACUGUUCCUAUCCCAAAGAAGUUAAGUAUGACCAUGUUCAAAUACUUGAAAAUUAUUUCUGCUGUUGGUUAGUUGUGAGGCCCUUUGCAAGAAAAUUUCUUUCUCUAAUCCUAUAUUUUCCAGUGAGAGACUGAACUUGACUGUCAUGUCCCAAGUUUUUAUAAUCCUAGAAGAGAAUCAACCUCCUCUAGUAUAUCAGUUUUGCAAAUAGUACACUGACAUGAUUUACAAAAGCAAAGGAGAGCCAGGUGCUGUGGCGCACACCUACAAUCCCAGUGGCUAGGGAGGUUGAGGUAGGAGGAUUGCCAGUUCAAUUUAGUGAGGCCUAAGCAACUUAGCAACACCCUGUCUUAAAAUAAAAUGUAAAAAGGGAUGGGUAUGGGGCUCAGUGAUUAAGUACCCCUAGGUUCAAUCCCUGGCACUAAAAAAGGGGAAAGUGAAAUCUUAUAUUUGGAAAAUUCAGUAUUACAAUAAAAUUAUGGAAAUUAUAUUUAAGUUGUCCAUUAAAGAAGAAAAAUCUACAUUUGUUUUUCUUACCCUUUGUCAUGUUGACACCUUGACUUCAUGACCAGGUUUCCUUAACAAAAAGGAAAACUUCCCCCACUAGAAUUUGGAGAGGCAACAUAAUAUGAAAAAAUAGUAAGAAAUAAACAUUUGAAAAUUUUGUCAAACAAAUCAUAUAAUUGAAGAAAUGUGGCGUACUGAAUAAUUUAGUUAAGUUUAAAAUCAAUAUUCAAUUUUCUAAAACAAUAAAAAUUGCAAUAUUUUAGUAUAUUUUCUUAAGCAGUAUGCUAAAUAUCAAUAAACCUUAUAAAGAUCUUAUCAAGUCUUGUGAAGUAUUAUGUAAUAUGCUAUAGACAUAGGAGUUUAAAAAUUGUGCUAAAUGUGUUUUAAGCUCGGUAGUGCCAAGGGUGUUUAACAUGUUUUUCUUUCUUCCGUGAUGCUAGAGAUUGAACCAUUGCUUCAUGUAUCCUACACAAGCACUGUACCACUGAGCUAAAUCCCAUCCCGCAUUUUUUUGUUAAAAUAUACUUUUAAAAAAAUGUAGAAUGCAAGUUACUAGGCCAGGCUGGGCAACUUGGUAAGACCCUGUCUCAAAAAAAGAAAUGGGGCUUGGGGUGUGGCUCAGUGGUAGAGUGCUGCUAUGUUCAAUAUCAAAUACUGGGGAAAAAAAUGCAAGUGACUAAUUCAGGUUAACUAUUGAUUCAAUUUGAAGAAUUCCAGCCUUUAUCAAGCCAAAUUUCACUUUACUCCAAAGUGAGUGAAAUUAUAUUGUAUUCAUAAUUUCACUGCUUAUUUGGAAGAUAUAUACUUUAAAGGAUUCAAAUUAUAACCCUUUUCAAUUAUAACUUAUUGGUUGUAAGCAAUAAAUUUCUUCUAUCAGAAAUGGUUUGAGUCAGGGAGGAUUGGGUUAUCAAGAAAAACUACUGAGCAGUGUACAAUGCCAAUGCCUCUAAUCCCAGGAACUCUGGAAGCUAAGUAAGGAAGAACACAAAUUUAAGCCAGCAAGGGUGACUUGACAAGACCCAAGACCCUGUCUCAAAAAGGGCUGGGGAUGCUGGGGUUGUAGCUCAGAGAUAGAGUGCUUGCCUUGCAUGUGUGAGGCACUGAGCUUCAUCCUCAGUACCACAAAAAGAUAAAUAAAUAAAAUAAAGAUAUUUUGUCCAUCUACAACUAUAUACAUUGUGUGUGUGUGUGUGUGUAUAU
This 3606-nucleotide long non-coding RNA is filed under the name Marmota monax (woodchuck). The record is from RNAcentral. Lineage: Eukaryota; Metazoa; Chordata; Mammalia; Rodentia; Sciuridae.